Molecule: ribosomal RNA, 480 nt
Filed under: uncultured bacterium
Lineage: Bacteria
Description: bacterial SSU rRNA
Rfam family: Bacterial small subunit ribosomal RNA
Source: RNAcentral
GAUGAACGCUGGCGGCGUGCCUAACACAUGCAAGUCGAGCGUGAACCCUGCGAAUGAAACUUCGGUCGAUUUUGCAGGGGGAAAGCGGCGGACGGGUGAGUAACGCGUAGGUAACCUGCCCCAUACUGAGGGAUAGCCUCGGGAAACCGGGAUUAAUACCUCAUAACACCGUAUAUUCGCAUGGAUGUGCGGUCAAAGAUUUAUCGGUAUGGGAUGGGCCUGCGUCUGAUUAGCUGGUUGGUGGGGUAACGGCCUACCAAGGCGACGAUCAGUAGCCGACCUGAGAGGGUGAUCGGCCACAUUGGAACUGAGACACGGUCCAAACUCCUACGGGAGGCAGCAGUGGGGAAUACUGCACAAUGGGCGAAAGCCUGAUGCAGCAACGCCGCCGUGAGCGAAGAAGGCCUUUGGGUCGUAAAGCUCUGUCGGGUAGGAAGAUAAAUGACGGUACUACCCGAGGAAGCCCCGGCUAACUACGUG